AUGAACGCUGGCGGCAGGCCUAAAACAUGCAAGUCGAGCGCUCUAGCAAUAGAGAGCGGCGCACGGGUGAGUAACAUGUGGGAAUAUGCCUUUUGGUACGGAACAACUUUUGGAAACGAAAGCUAAUACCGUAUGGUCCCUUCGGGGUAAAGAUUUAUCGCCGAUGGAUGAACCCGCGUCCGAUUAGCUUGUUGGUGAGGUAAUGGCUCACCAAGGCUUCGAUCGGUAGCUGGUCUGAGAGGAUGACCAGCCACACUGGGACUGAGACACGGCGCAGACUCCUACGGGAGGCAGCAGUGGGGAAUAUUGGACAAUGGGCGCAAGCCUGAUCCAGCAAUGCCGCGUGAAUGAUGAAGGCCUUAGGGUUGUAAAGUUCUUUCGCUCGUGACGAUGAUGACGGUAACGAGAGAAGAAGCCCCGGCUAACUUCGU
RNAcentral lists this ribosomal RNA (431 nucleotides) under uncultured bacterium. Its description in RNAcentral is "bacterial SSU rRNA". It matches the Rfam family "Bacterial small subunit ribosomal RNA", at positions 29 to 506 of the family's 1533-position model. The record is from RNAcentral.